RNAcentral lists this ribosomal RNA (494 nucleotides) under uncultured bacterium. Its description in RNAcentral is "partial 16S ribosomal RNA". It matches the Rfam family "Bacterial small subunit ribosomal RNA", at positions 28 to 507 of the family's 1533-position model. The record is from RNAcentral.
GACGAACGCUGGCGGCGUGCUUAACACAUGCAAGUCGAACGGUGAAGCGCCUUCCUUUUUGGUGGGUGUGGAUGAGUGGCGAACGGGUGAGUAACACGUGAGUAACCUGCCCCCUUCUUCUGGAUAACCGCAUGAAAGUGUGGCUAAUACGGGAUAUUCUGGGUCUGUCGCAUGAUGGGUCUGGGAAAGAUAUUGUUUCGGUGGGGGAUGGGCUCGCGGCCUAUCAGCUUGUUGGUGGGGGGAUGGCCUACCAAGGCGGUGACGGGUAGCCGGCCUGAGAGGGUGGACGGUCACACGGGGACUGAGACACGGCCCAGACUCCUACGGGAGGCAGCAGUGGGGAAUAUUGCACAAUGGGCGCAAGCCUGAUGCAGCGACGCCGCGUGAGGGAUGGAGGCCUUCGGGUUGUGAACCUCUUUCGCCAGUGAAGCAGGCCUGCCUCGUUUGUGGGUGGGUUGACGGUAGCUGGAUAAGAAGCGCCGGCUAACUACGUG